AUGAAUUAUCUAAGCUGGAACUGCCGGGGGCUUGGGAACCCCGAGGCAGUUCGAGAGCUUCGCAAAAUUGUGAAGCAAGAAGGGCCUUCCCUGGUUUUUGUUAUGGAGACAAAGAUUAGGGCGACAAGGGUGGAAAAUUUAAAGCAUUCACUUGGGUUUGCGGGAAGUUUCGCGGUUGAUAGCAUGGGUCUCAGUGGUGGAAUUGGACUGUUU
This 213-nucleotide ribosomal RNA is filed under the name Triticum aestivum (bread wheat). RNAcentral's name for it is "partial small subunit ribosomal RNA". Lineage: Eukaryota; Viridiplantae; Streptophyta; Magnoliopsida; Poales; Poaceae. The record is from RNAcentral.